AACGCGAAGAACCUUACCAGGUCUUGACAUCCCUCUGAAUACGGUAGAGAUAGCGUAGGCCUUCGGGACAGAGGAGACAGGUGGUGCAUGGUUGUCGUCAGCUCGUGUCGUGAGAUGUUGGGUUAAGUCCCGCAACGAGCGCAACCCUUGGAUUUAGUUGCCAGCAUGUAAUGAUGGGCACUCUAGAUCGACUGCCGGUGACAAACCGGAGGAAGGCGGGGAUGACGUCAAAUCAUCAUGCCCCUUAUGACCUGGGCUACACACGUACUACAAUGGCCGGUACAACGGGCAGCGAAACCGCGAGGUGGAGCGAAUCCUAUAAAAGCCGGUCUCAGUUCGGAUUGCAGGCUGCAACUCGCCUGCAUGAAGUCGGAAUUGCUAGUAAUCGCGGAUCAGCAUGCCGCGGUGAAUACGUUCCCGGGCCUUGUACACACCGCUCGUC
RNAcentral lists this ribosomal RNA (442 nucleotides) under uncultured bacterium. Its description in RNAcentral is "bacterial SSU rRNA". It matches the Rfam family "Bacterial small subunit ribosomal RNA", at positions 958 to 1398 of the family's 1533-position model. The record is from RNAcentral.